ACAAAAACAUGUCUCUUUGAUUAUAUAUUGUAUAAAGAGUCUAACCUGCCCGGUGAUGUAUAUUUAACGGCCGCAGUACUUUAACUGUGCGAAGGUAGCAUAAUCAUUUGCCUUAUAAUUGAAGGCUUGUAUGAAUGGUUUGACGAGAAUAAAUCUGUCUUAAUUUAAUUUUUUAGAAUUUAACUUUUAAGUGAAGAGGCUUUUAUUUAAUUAAUAGACAAGAAGACCCUGUCGAGCUUAAUUUUUUUCUUUAUAAAUAUAUAUUUUUAUGUUUUUUGUAAAUUUUAGUUGGGGUGACUGAGGAAGUAUAUAAGUUUCCUUAUAAAUUUUUAAAUUUGUUUAUUUUGAUUUAUAAUAGUUAUAAUUAGUAGAAUUAGUUACCGCAGGGAUAACAGCAUAAUCUUUUUUGAGAGUUCAUAUCGAAAAAUUGGUUUGUGACCUCGAUGUUGGAUUAAAAUAUCCUAAAGGUGUAGAAGUUUUUAAGGGUUAGUCUGUUCGACUAUUAAAAUUUUACAUGAGCUGAG
RNAcentral lists this ribosomal RNA (524 nucleotides) under Parachondria sericina. RNAcentral describes it as "partial 16S ribosomal RNA". It matches the Rfam family "Bacterial large subunit ribosomal RNA", at positions 1807 to 2609 of the family's 2925-position model. The record is from RNAcentral. Lineage: Eukaryota; Metazoa; Mollusca; Gastropoda; Littorinimorpha; Annulariidae.